CACAAAAGAGUAAAAACAAAAAAAAUUUCUCCAUCAACUCUCAACACUGCUGCUCGUCCCCUCCCGUCCCCCCCUUGGUCUCUCCGCCUCUCCUCUGGUACAGCCGCGCGCCUCCGCCUCCCGCCUCUUGCCUAUCGUCCUUAAAAGCACUACCAAGAUAGAGGUGCCAAAAACCAAAAUAGCACACGGGACUAGAAUCACAAGGUAGAGGCUACAGAAUAACCAGGCGCAGCUGCCGGAUGUUGCCAGAAAAUACACAUGCGCUGGCGUGUGGGCUGUAGGCAGAACUCAGCAUACGGGGCCACAUGUUUCACGUUCGGUCACCAGAUCUCCACAGGAGGCCAAUCAGCUGCUGGGCUUUCCACCUGAGGGGGCAGUGACGGGAACGGAAAACCUUAAAAGUUUGAUCAAUAAAUAAUGCCGAAGAACAGUACCCGUGAACAUCCAACAAUGCCGAUGAACAAUAUUCAACAGUAUCAAUGAAUAGUACCCGAGGGCAAUACCUAAGCCCCAAAGGAUUGAAGGCUCUAAUUCCAUAUGAACUUUGAAUUUUCCAUAUAAAUUUCUGUGAGAAUGAACAAUAGUUAUAUACAAAAUAUCCUAUAAUCAAGUAUUCUAACUAGAAAAGUAUCUCUAUAAUUAUGCUAAUAAUAUUUAUAUAGAUGACUUACUAUAACAAUCUAAAUACAAUUUCAUUCUUCAAUGACAAAUAUAAAUUUUGUUAAAUUUAAAAAUAUACCCAAAAAUUAUCAUGAAUUCUAAAUUUAUAUAUAACAAGCUAACAAAAGUUUUACAAUAUUGUUAUUGAAACUUGAAAUGGUAACCAGAAAUUGAGUUAUGAUAAAGGAGUAAAUUUGUGUGUCUGUGUGUAUGUAAAGAUUGUAUUUUCUAAAAUCAUGUUGUUAAGGUAUUUAGUAAUGAAAAAAAAAAAAAUUUCUACAGUUCUAUUGAUAUUUAAUUAAAUAUUAUUUGAAUUAUGAAAACAUUUAAAUGAUAUUUUUGAUGUAAUUGAAUAAGUGUAAUAAUAAAAUAUUUCAAUAAUUUCAAAUAAUAAAAAAUUAAUGAAUCAAUAGUAUUGGAAUUAACUCUAACCAUAAGGUUUUAAAUUUGAAUCGUAGUUACGACCAAAUGAAUAAAGGAAAAUUUAAAAUAAAAAAUUGAAAGAGUAAAUUAACAUUCAAUUGAAAAUAAUUUAGUAGUAAUAUUGACGUGGCAACUUCAUACAUUAGACCAUAUUGGAAAUUGGUUAAUUUACUACUAUGGUUCAAUAAUUUAACAUAAGAAAAUGUAGAAGUUGAAAUGGCUUAGUAGUUAAUAGCUUUUUUGAACCUGAGAUUUCUCAGAUUUACUCGGAUGUAUUUACCAUUAAGUUAAACUUGUGAGUGCAGGUAUAUUAUAAUGUUUAACUAUUUCUAUUUAAUAAUAAGAGUGAAACACCGAAAAAGACUGAACUCUUAAAAUUUAUUGAAUCUACCUAAACUAUGGAAAUUAUCAAUAAACUCUGAAACUCUUGAGGAUUUUGCAAUUAUACCCUAAGCAAAAAAAAAAGAGCAAUUAAACUCUAAACUCUAAACUCUUGAGGAUUUUGCAAUUUCACUCUACUGUCAAUUUCUUGUUAUCUUUUUGGAAAUCACUAUACGUUUUAGUUCUAUAGAAAAAAGACAAUUAAAAAAAAUUGUUUAUUAUUAUUUUUUUUUUGGAGUUUUUAUGACUGAUAUAUGUUAUAAAUUUAAAUUUGACUUGAAAUCAAAUUUGUAAUAGCUUCUAAGUAUUGUAUUUAAAUUGGAAUUUGUGUUACUAUUUUUGAUAUCCUCUAACAUAUAUAUGUGUGUGUGAGUAUCGCUGUAUAUAAAGUGGUUUUUUAUUAUUAAUAAUAUUUAUGAACAUUAAUAUUUUUGAAUUAUUUUUCUAGGAGAGUUAAAUAUAUAGUGAUGUUCCAAAAAAAUAAUGGAAACUGCUAAUAGGGUGUUGUUGAAAAAUUUUGAAAAAGCUUAAAAGUUCAAUUGGCAAUUUUUAAUUAAUAAUAAUUAUCAUAAAUAAAUAAAGAUAACUAUAUUCAAGUGCAAAAGAGGAAAAAAAGAGAAUAUUUUGACAAGAAGAAAUGGAAAGAGAAAAAAAAUGAAUAGCAUGAGACAUAUGCAUACUCUUUGACAAGAAGAAAAUGAUUUGUUUUGUAGUGAUAUAAGGAUAUGGUUGUCCAAAUACUGUUACUAAAUAGGAGUGAGCAAUCAGUUGGUUCGGCUCAAAAUCGCAUCGAACAGAAUAAAUUGAAAAUCAAAAUUUAAAUAAUUGUAAAAAUUGAAUCGAACUAGGGGAGAAACUGAACUGAAUCGAAUCGGUUUGAUUCGAUUAUGUCGGUUGGGCUUUUUAACGAUCUUUUUUAUUGUUUACACUUUACACUUUAUUUUUUGUGUUCUAAAAUUCAAUUGUAAGUAUUUCUACCAAUUUGCUUAAAUUAUCAAAACGACAUAGUAUUGGUAACUAAUUAUUCCAGUUUAGUUUUGCCGAAUUUUUUUAAAUCAAAAUCAAACCGAAUUAAAAAAAAUAUAAAACUAAACUGAAUUUCUGAAUUGAUUCAAUUUGGUCGGUUAUUUCGGUUUGAACUUAAUACUGCUCAUCCCUAUUACUAGAACAAUAAACAAGGUUGCAUUGUAGUAUAUAUAAUAAUGCAUCUAUAAAUAAGCAAGUUUUCAGAAAGGUGAAAUAAAAAAAAUAUAUGGAGUAAUAGUCUUAGUUAAUUCUGAUACUACCUCUUUUUUGUGAGAAAAAAACCAAGUGUAAGAUUUUAAUUUGUGUCAAUUGUGUGUGUACAUUUCUUAAACUAAAAAGGAAAAAGGGUUGCUGCUGCAAGGAAAAAAGCUAAAAACUUAAAGCCAAUGGAUCUUCAAUCUAAAUAUAGUUCACAUUUAUUAUAUACAGGAAAUUAGAGAAAAGUAAAAAAUGAUGCUGCUGGGAUUUGAAUUUAUAAUGGUGCCAAAGAAUGGUGUCUUUUCCAAAAUUUCCAAGCAACUCUAAGGAAAUGAGGGAACAAAAACAGUUUAAAGUAGUUUUUUUAAGGGUAAUGCUAAUUUGUAGACCUCUAAUAAUUGAAUUAUAAUUUUUCAUAUGUAAAAUUUUUCACUGCUAAAUACCAAACUCUGUUUUCCAUGGAGCGUUUUCCAGUUCUCUUGGAAUAAUUUCUUGGAAAACAAGGUUUGUUUUCUGAUAUGGAACAGUUAGACUCCUAUUAAGAUUAGGAUUAUUUUUGCAUAUUAGGAUUUUAUUUCUAUUGUAAAUAACUUCCCUUGGCUAUUAGGAUUUUAGACUCCUAUUAGGAUUAGGAUUAUUUUUGCAUAUUAGGAUUUUAUUUCUAUUAUAAAUAGCCUCCCUUGGCUAUUAGGAUUUUAGACUCCUAUUAGGAUUAGGAUUAUUUUUGCAUAUUAGGAUUUUAUUUCUAUUAUAAAUAGCCUCCCUUGGCUAUUAGGAACUCACUUUCCAAUUUUUAAGAAAUUUCAAUAAGACUUUUCGUCUUUUAGCCUAUCUUUUCUCUUAUUUCGUCUUAACCAAACGAUAUUGGUUACAACUCCUGACGGAGUCUAAAUAGUCCUGUAUCAGAUUGGUAUCAGAGUGAAGUUCGACCAUGGCAGAUAACCAAGAGGCGCGACUUGCUGCGAUUGAGGCAUCCUUAGCAGAAUUGAGGGAGAUGAUCGGACAGCUGACCCUGCAGCAGGGAAUCCACCAACUCGCUGCCGCCGCACAUCUCCAUAUGGCCGCCAAUCCUGUGGCCGCCAUUCCUGUGGUUAUCAAUCUUAUGCCUGCAAAUCCCCAACAGAACUAUCAGGAAGGUUACAGGAUCAAGGUAGACCUUCAAAACUUUUCUGGUUCAUUAGAUGUUGAAUCUGUUCUUGAUUGGCUGGCAGAGGUUGAACGCUUCUUUGAAAUUAUGAACGUGAAAGAGGAACGCAAGGUUCCAAUUGUGGCCUAUAAGUUGAAAGGGGGUGCAGCAGCCUGGUGGAAUUCGAUUUAAAACGAACGCUAUUGGAAGAGGCUGAAACCCAUACGAAACUGGGUGCUGAUGAAGCAGAUGUUUGAACAACGGUUCUUGCCUAGCGAUCAUGCUCAGGUUUUAUAUAACCGGUAUCAUGACUAUGUACAAGGGAACCGAAGGGUGGAUGAGUAUACCGAGGAGUUUCUAAGGCUGCAGGCGAGAUGUGAAAACUGUGAGAACAAGGCCCAACAGGUUGCUCAUUAUCAGAGGGGGCUGAAUCACAAAAUUCAUUGUAUGAUGGGAGUAGCUGUGAUUUUCACCUUGGCAGACGCUAUUGAGAUGGCAAAAAGGGCAGAAGAGUGUGUUGAUUGGCAGCCACGAUAGCAGCAGUACAACCAGAAUUUCAAUUACAGAAACUCUAGUUCAACAGGGACGCAGCAAUAUAGAGGCAACUACAGCGGACAGCCUUCUAAGGUUGUAAAUUCUGGCAACCCUCCGAAUACCAUGGAAGAAAGGAGAGACAGUAAGGGCAAGGCAGUCACCACUACAACAGACAAAGGAGGCAGGACCAAUUCUUACCAGAAGCCAACGGGAGACAUCUGUUACCGGUGCAGGCAAUCUGGUCAUCGAUCAAAUAAUUGUCCAGAACGUAGAGGAGUUAAUGCUGACCGCCGGCAGGUUAAUAUAGUUGAGCAGGUGGCUGAAACUGACGAGGAAGUGGAUGACGAUGACAGAUCUAUUGCUGGUUCUGAAGAUGGAGAGGUCACCUAUGUGGUGAAGAAGAUCUUAUGCUCAACAAAACAGGAGGACGAGACACAAAGGAGGAAGAUUUUCCAGGCAAAGUGUCGAGUAGGAGAGGCAAUUUGCAGGCUAAUUAUAGAUAGCUGCAGUUGUGAGAAUCUGAUAGCUAAGCAGUUGGUAGAAAAAUUACAGUUGCCUACACAGCCUCACCCCUCACCAUACAAAGUCGGAUGGAUUAAGGAAGGACCGACAAUUGAGGUCAACAGAAUCUGCAGCGUGCCUAUCUCGAUCGGUAAAUCUUAUACUAAACCUGUUAAUUGUGAUGUUGUGGAUAUGGAUUGCUGUGAAAUUUUGCUAGGUCGCCCUUGGCAAUUCGACGUUGAUGCUUUGCAUAAAGGGAUGGAGAAUUCAUACAUAUUCACGUGGAAUCAAAAGAAGAUUACUACUUUGCCUUCCGGUUCUAUGAAACAUUCUAAGGUGGAAGGGAAGCAUACUGUUGCUGUUUCUACGGGAGUGCAGAAGCUAUCAGGUGCAGUUGAGAAAUCUGGAGGCACACUAGCUUUAUUGGUGAGAGCAAAAGGUACAAUGGAAGAUGCACCAUCUUUACCACCGCCCGUCAAAGAGUUGUUAAAGGAGUUUCCUAAGAUAGUGGAGGAAUCAUCAAAGCUUCCACCCCUGCGGGAUAUCCAACAUCAGAUUGAUCUCAUUCCUGGAUCAAAAUUACCGAAUCUGUCUCAUUACAAGAUGAGUCCAAAGGAGAGUGAAAUCCUCCAAGAACAGGUGAAAGAAUUACUAAAGAAGGGGCAUAUUCGGGAGAGCAUUAGCCCCUGCGGAGUACCUGCCCUAUUAGUUCCAAAGAAAGAUGGGACUUGGAGAAUGUGCGUGGAUAGCAGGGCCAUCAAUAAAAUUACAGUUCAAUAUCGAUUUCCUAUCCCACGAUUGGAUGACAUGCUAGAUCAGCUAUCCGGGGCUAAAGUCUUUUCUAAAAUCGACCUCAAAAGUGGCUAUCACCAAGUUCGGAUCAAGGAGGGAGAUGAAUGGAAGACUGCCUUCAAGACUAAGGAAGGCUUGUAUGAGUGGUUGGUUAUGCCCUUUGGUUUAACAAAUGCACCUAGCACUUUUAUGCAACUCAUGAACCAGGUUUUGUGUCCUUUCUUACGCAAAUUUGUGGUUGUUUAUUUUGAUGACAUUUUGAUAUUUAGUCGCAGUAAGGAAGAACAUCUUCAGCAUCUCCGUCAAGUCAUGACGGCCCUACAAGAAAGUGAGUUGAUUAUUAAUCUUGAGAAGUGCAUCUAUAUGACGGAGCGCGUUCUGUUCCUGGGAUUCGUUGUUAGUACAGAAGGGAUACAUGUUGAUAAGACGAAGGUAGAAGCAAUACGGAAUUGGCCCAUCUCCAAAACUAUUUAUGAAGUUCGCAGCUUUCAUGGCCUUGCCACUUUCUACCGACGGUUUAUCAGAAAUUUUAGCAGCAUCGUUGCCCCUAUCACAGAUUGCUUGAAGAAAGAGAGAGUGUAGAAAUUUGCAUGGACUGAAGCUGCCAACAAGAGCUUUGAAGAGAUUAAAGAUAAGCUUACUUCUGCCCCUAUUCUUGCUCUACCUGAUUUUGAUAAACUGUUUGAGAUUGAAUGUGAUGCUUGUGGAGUUGGGAUUGGAGGAGUAUUGUCACAGUCUAAAAGGCCUAUUGCCUUCUUUAGUGAGAAACUGAAUGAAGCUAGAAAGAAGUGGUCUACUUAUGAGCAGGAACUAUAUGCAGUAUUCCGGGCUUUUAAAACUUGGGAGCAGUAUUUGAUGGGACGAGAAUUUAUUAUUCACACAGAUCAUCAGUCUCUAAUCCAUUUUAAAACUCAAAAACAUGUGAAUAAGAUGCAUGCCUGAUGGGUAGCUUACUUUGGAGCCUUUCAUUAUGUCAUCAAACAUAAGGCUGGCCAUAGUAAUAAGGUGGCAGAUGCUUUGAGUAGGAGGGCUACUUUGUUGAUUAUAGCUAAUCAGGAGGUUGUAGGUUUUGAAUUCCUGAAGGAUUUGUAUGCUACAAAUGAUGAUUUUGCUAAUAUAUGGGCUAGAGUCCAGACUCACCAGCCUACUGAUGGGUUCUUGAUACAUGAUGACUUUCUUUUUAAGGAGAACAGGUUAUGCAUCCCUCGAUCUUCCUUGCGGGAGAAGUUGAUUCGCGAGAUCCAUGGAGGAGGUUUGAGUGGUCAUUUGGGGCGUGACAAGACUAUUGCUGGGUUGGAUGAGCAUUUUUACUGGCCUCCAUUAAAAAAGGGAUACAGAUCGAAUGGUUCAGAAGUGCCCAGUGUGUCAAACUCAGAAAGGACAUUCGCAGAAUACAGGCUUAUACACUCCACUGCCUAUUCCAGCCCAUCCUUGGGAGUACUUGUCUAUGGAUUUUGUUCUUGGUCUUCCACGUACUCAACGUGGAUCUGAUUCCAUUUUUGUUGUUGUUGACAGGUUCUCUAAAAUGGCACAUUUCAUUCCCUACAAGAAAACUAAUGAUGCUUCCCAUGUAGCAAAACUGUUUUUCCAGGAGAUUGUUCGCUUACAUGAUGUCCCCAAAACCAUUACUUCUGACAGAGAUGUGAAGUUUCUAGCUCACUUCUGGGUGACUUUAUGAAAACGCUUCGGGACUGAACUUCGAUAUAGCAGUGCUGCUCACCCCCAAACCGAUGGACAAAUUAAAGUGGUAAACCGCACGCUUGGCAGUCUUCUACGCUGCAUCUGCAGUAACAAGAAAACUGCUUGGGAUCUUGCUCUUGCCCAAGCAGAAUUUGCUUACAACAGUGCGAUUCACAGCUCCACAAAGAUGUCACCAUUUGCUGUUGUGUACAGGAAAGUCCCAACGCAUACAGUUGACCUUAUCGCACUUCCCACAGGUUAUCACAACCGUCUUGCAGCACGCAACCUGGCAAAGCAGCACAUGGAUAUUUUCAAGCAAGUACAACAAUGCCUUACGGAAGCCAAUGAUAAAUAUAAAGCUAUAGCUGAUAAACAUAGGCGUUUCAAAUCCUUCAAUGUCGGUGAUCAAGUUAUGGUGUAUUUACGCAAGGAGCGUGGUGGAGGACAGAAAAAGCUUGACGCCAAGAAGAUUGGUCCAUUCCGGAUCAUUCAGAAGAUUAAUGACAAUGCCUAUGUUCUUGACCUUCCACAUGAGAUGAAAAUUUCCAAAACGUUUAACGUGGUGGAUCUAUUUCAGUACUAUCCUGCUGAAGACAACUCGAGGUCGAGUUCUUUACAAGUGGAAGGGAAUGAUAUGGAACAGUUAGACUCCUAUUAGGAUUAGGAUUAUUUUUGCAUAUUAGGAUUUUAUUUCUAUUGUAAAUAGCCUCCCUUGGCUAUUAGAAUUUUAGACUCCUAUUAGGAUUAGGAUUAUUUUUGCAUAUUAGGAUUUUAUUUCUAUUGUAAAUAGCCUCCCUUGGCUAUUAGGAUUUUAGACUCCUAUUAGGAUUAGGAUUAUUUUUGCAUAUUAGGAUUUUAUUUCUAUUAUAAAUAGCCUCCCUUGGCUAUUAGGAACUCACUUUCCAAUUUUUAAGAAAUUUCAAUAAGACUUUUCGUCUUUUAGUCUAUCUUUUCUCUUAUUUCGUCUUAACCAGACGAUAUUGGUUACAACUCCUGACGGAGUCUAAAUAGUCCUGUAUCAUUUUCCCUGACACCUAAACAGUGUGCUGGAAGUAAGAUGUAAUGACUUCUCCCUAUGCUUUUCCGGCUUCUUUAUUAUAGUCUUUCAUGAUUUCAUCCUUUCUCUGAACUUUUACAUGGUUCAUGGAGUAGAAAAACAACCUUCAUGGUUCUAUAUGAUGCAUUUCAUCUAUGUUCUAUGCAAAUGUGUUGCAUGUGGUCAUUUUCCAUCAAUGUUGUUAACUUAUUCCAUGCUGUUGUUCCACAUUCUUUCUGAAAGGGCAGUACAGAAUGCCAGAUGCAUAUGAUCAGGAAGGAGAUGUUAAUCGGGAGAAAAGAUUUGUUGUGACUUUGCAGCGCUAUAGGUCAGUUUGAAAAAGAAAAAUAUGGCUCUUUGUAAAUUAUUUGAAUCACUAAAUAUGCUGUUUUUCUAUGAGUAAUUUCAGUAGUAGUUUGACUUCUUUUUUUUCCCUUGCUCUCUUGCAAAGGGACCCUAGUGCUGACGAAAAAAUGAAUCCAUUUGCAGAACAGGAGACUUGGGAAAACUACCAAAUUGGUAAACUUAUGUGAUGGUUUUGCCUUUACUGCUUCUAUUAUUAUAUUACUAUUUUAGUAUUUCUUCUCCUGUCCUUUCCAGUUUUGGGCCUAAAUAUGAACUCAUAUCCUCAGGGAAAGCAACAAUGAAAUUUGGUUCAAAGAAUAAAAAGCAAAUGUCUGAUGAUUAUCAGUAACUUUGGAUGUCCAUUGACUAUCAUAAAAGUUUUGACCCAGCAUUUCUUCUUAUUUUGUGCUGUUUUAUUUUAUUAUGAUGAGUUUUUGAUGCCUUAUUUAUCAUUUCUGUUUCUCUUUCAGUCUGUCUAAACUUUAAUGUUUUUAUAUAUUCUUUUUCUUUCAUAUGAAUAACAUAAUAGCACUAUGAAUUUGCUUAGGUUUGUCUUUGAGGACCAGAUUGAGUUUAUCAAGGAAUCGGUGAUGGAUGGUGACAAGGUAGAUCCAUUAUCCCUAAGUUACAUGUGUCUCAGUGUCAAGUUUUCCUUUGAAAUUCACAAAUGAUUGUCUUAUUCUUGUGUGCAGUAUGAUAAUGAGAUGCGUGAGUACGAGAUGCGUGAUGAGUCCUUGGAUUACUCUAGGGCAAAAUCAGCUUUGGAGAAGCUUCAGGUAUGUAUUUGUUAUUUUGAACUACACAUGUUUUGCCUUCUUUUUUAUAUAAAAAUGUUUCGGGGCAAAAUAGCACUAUAUAUCUUCCCUUUGAUUUUUAUAUAAAAAUCAAUUGACAUUUUAAAAUUUUAUUAUUAAUUUUUUAUUAAUUAUUUUUGUAAAAUAUAAUUAUUUAAUUAUUUAAAGCUAAAAUUAAAAAUAGUCGGGUCCAACUAAAUUUUAAAGUAAAAGUUAAAAAGCAAUUAUAUACACAAUAUUAAUAUAACUUUAUAACAAUAUUAUUAUUUAAAAAUAUUAUUUUGUUAUAUUAUUUACAAAAAUAUAUUAUUAAUAUAAAGUGUUAUUUUUUAUAUAUUUUUUUAAAUAAUUACUUUUUUUAAUUUUUUUAUAAAUAAUUACUUCAAAAACUAUAUAUUAUUUUUAUAAAUUUAUAAAAUAAAAACACAAAUAUUUUUUUUGUAAUUCAAAACAUUAUUUUUUGAAUUAAAAAAUUAUUAUUUUUUGAAUUAUUGCUAAAAAAUUAUUAUUCAAAAAUAUUCAUAAGAAACUUAUUUUAAUUUUGAUCAAUAUAAUUAUUAUUCUUAAUUUUUAUCUGGAUCGGUAAAUAUUUUAAAUCAAAGUUUAUUUAAUUAUUUUAUUUGGAAAAAAUAUAUGUUUGGAUAAAUCACAUAAAAUUUUAAUUCUAGAUAAAAUUUUCUAAAAUUUAUGAUAAUAAUGAAGUUUAUUUCUUUAAGGAAAAAAAUCUUAUUUUUAUUUUAAAUAUAUGUUUAUUCAAAUAAGCUACAAUCCAAUAAAAAAUUACAAAAUUUUAUAAAUAAAUUUGUAUUAAUGUUAUGUCAAUUAUCAAUAAUGAGCUUUUAUUGUUACUUUAUUUUAAAUAAAGUUAAAUUAAUUAAUUUUUAAAAAAUUAGAUUUUAUUUUAAAUUUUUAUAGAGUGGAUUUAUUUUUCAUAAUUAAUUAUAAUAUAUAAACAUUACAUUAUUAAAAAGAAAAUAAUAAUAAUUCUUCGAAGUUAUACUGUUUUGAAUUAAAAAAAUAAUAUUUUUGUUUUUAUUUUAUAAAUUUAUAAAAAUAAUAUAUAGUUUUUGAAGUAAUUAUUUAUAAAAAAAUUAAAAAAAGUAAUUAUUUAAAAAAAUAUAUAAAAAAUAACACUUUAUAUUAAUAAUAUAUUUUUGUAAAUAAUAUAACAAAAUAAUAUUUUUAAAUAAUAAUAUUAUUAUAAAAUUAUGUUAAUAUUGUGUAUAUAAUUGCUUUUUAACUUUUUACUUUAAAAUUUAGUUGGACCCGACUAUUUUUAAUUUUAACUUUUAAAUGAUUAAAUAAUUAUAUUUUAUAAAAAUAAUUAAUAAAAAGUUAAUAAUAAAAUUUCAGAGUGUCAAUUAAUUUUUAUAUAAAAAUUAAAGGGAAGAUAUAUAUUUAACUUUAUAUUAUUUUUUUUAAUUUUAUAAUUUUUUUUGGUAGCUUAGUAGGCUAAAAUUAUAUAUAGAUUUGAAAAUUUAAUUUUUAUUAAUUUAAUAUAUAUUUCAUAGAUUAUAUAUUAUUAAAAUAUAUUAAUCACUAAGAAGAAUUUAAUUUUAUUUUAUUUUUAUUUAUUCAAUAGAAUCAACUUACCUACCAUUAUCAUAAGUUUUGUUUUAAAGCUAGAUUUUGGGUGGUUUCGACACCCAUUAGUGAUACUAAUAAAAUCACCCACUCAUCACAAUGUUACUGUCAAGAAUUCAUUUUAUAUUUAGCUCUACAUGUAUGAGAAAAAGAAGAAAUUAUAACAAAAAGUGAUUAUUACAAUUUAGUGAAAAAUAAUAAAUAAUGUAGGUUUGCAUAUUUAUAAUUAAAUGUUCUGAUGAAAAUGAAGAUAUUAUGUUUAUUAAUCAAAUAGUUAUUAAGGCUGUAGCUAAUUAUAACCUAUGUAACCAGUUACUAUUUUGGUUUGAAAGCCUUGCUGUCUCUCUUGUUGUUCUUUCUUUCUCAUCUCCUUUUUUUUCCUAAUUAUUCUGCGACACUCAUGUUAUUUUUUUUCCCCGAACCUAAUUUCAACUCUAAAGCAAUAUUUCUUUCAUCCCUAUAACUCUAGAUCCACAAAUCCUUCCCUAAGAUUAAUCAAUUGCUUAAUGUUGCCCCCAUAAACCAUAAACCAUUAGUAGGCUGGUCUUAGCUUGGUGUAAUUAUCCCAAUGAUAUGUUUAUACAUACUUGCUUCAUUGGCAUAGAAGAAAAAAAAUUUGAGAGAUUAUGUUUAUGGCUUAGGGGUUUUAUUGCCUUAAGAUAGUUGUAUGUCAUUGAUUUUUUUUGCUGAUGAAUGCGCAACAGUAAUCCUUCUUAGUUUUAUCUUUAGAUUGGCUACUCCAUUCGUUUUGAAGACUGCACAUCCAAGAAGACUCUUCUAAAAUAUAUGACAGAUGGAAUGCUCCUACGUGAAUUCCUUGGUGAGCCAAAUUUGGCAAGCUACAGAUGAGCGGUGCUUCAAUGGCUCAUUAGUGGUUUCAUUCUCUAGAUUUUGCUGGUUUACUUACAUUCUCUAGAUUUAUUAGUGUCGUGAUGGUGGAUGAAGCACAUGAAAGAACUUUGUCUACUGAUAUACUUUUUGGACUAGUAAAGGCAAGUACCUCACUUUAACAUCAUGAUCAUCGGUACUUUUGGUUUUUUGGACUGAUGCAUAAAUUGUCUCUUACUUAGUUGUGAAGAGUCUAUGUGCUGCUGACAUUUUAUUUUUACCUAUUAUAGCCUAGACUCUUUAUUUUUACCUAUUGUACCAUUAAUUUUUACUUUUAUAAUCAUAAGCACAAUUUGCUGUACUUGUUGAUGAAUAAUUGAAUUAAGUGUCAAUUUCAAGUUUAUCUUCAUUAUAAAGUGAAAAAAAAAUGAUGUGUUUAAUCUGUUAUGCAUCAAUGAAUUGGAAACGUCUUUGGUUAAAGAAAAACUUACAGGUGUAAUGGGUCAGAGCAAAAGUUUAGGUGUUACAAUUCGAUAUGCCUCUCAUAAUCACUCUCCCUUCCCUAUCUCUAGUUUCUUGUGCUGCUGAAAAUAUGUGCUCUGGAUUUUCUCCAACAGAAUUCUGCUUUGCUGGCAUUCUAUGUUCUUUUUACCUAGAAUAUAUCACCCAUUUCUCUUUCCUCUCCCCUUUGGGUCAAGAGUCAUAGAAGCCAAAUAAGAGAAUUAGAGGGAGGGAAACGUUGCUAAAAGUAGAAGUUAGUUGUAGAAAGCAAUUACCUGGAAUUCCUGCUGGAGUACUGGUGCGAACUAGCGUAUAGAAGAGCUGAGAGAAGCUGUGCUAUCCAUUCUGGAUUAAUAAAAUUAGUGUUCUCUUUUUAUGCUGUCUUUCCUCUCAAAUUUCUCUUUUGUUCUAUCCUUUUCUUCCAUUCUCUCCUCUUAAUUGAUAUCUAGUCCCUGCAGUAACUGGAUACUCGGUGUGUCUAUCCUAACAGUCUGGCAGUUGUAUAUUUUAAUAGAAUUAGGGGUAUUAAUGUCAUUUUGGAAAGUCUACCCUGUCCUUUUGUGGUCUUGUACUGUCUGAGUUCUAAAUUGUCCUGUCCAGCAAACCAAAUGCAGACCCAGCAUAGUUAAUUUCAGGAAACGAUAAUCACCUUGGGGUUUUGGAAGCAUAUGGUUUUUGUUGUCCUUUUCAUUUAGUAUCUGAAUCUGAUGCUUGUGCAUGACAGGAUAUAGCCCGUUUUCGACCAGAGUUAAAGUUGCUUAUUUCAAGUGCAACACUGGAUGCUGCAAAAUUUAGUGAUUACUUUGAUUCAGCUCCAAUUUUUAAAAUUCCUGGAAGGAGGUUUCCUGUUGAGAUGCACUAUACAAAAGCACCAGAAGCUGAUUACCUUGAUGCUGCAAUUGUAACUGUGCUUCAAAUCCAUGUGACUCAAUCCCCUGGAGAUAUUUUAGUUUUCUUCACAGGUCAGGUGGAAAUAGAGACAGCAGAGGAAAUUUUGAAGCACAGGACCAGAGGUCUAGGGACAAAAAUUGCAGAGCUCAUUAUCUAUCCUAUAUAUGCAAAUUUACCAACAGAGCUUCAAGCUAAAAUAUUUGAACCUACACCUGAAGGGGCCCGGAAGGUUGUCCUUGCAACAAAUAUUGCUGAAACAUCUUUAACAAUUGAUGGGAUCAAGUAUGUCAUUGAUCCUGGCUUUUGCAAGAUGAAAUCAUAUAACCCAUGGACAGGGAUGGAAUCAUUGCUUGUAACACCUAUUUCAAAAGCUUCAGCCAUGCAGCGUGCUGGUCGCUCUGGAAGAACAGGUCCAGGAAAAUGUUUUCGGUUGUACACGGCCUAUAACUAUAAUCAUGAUUUGGAUGAUAAUACUGUACCAGAAAUACAAAGGACAAAUCUUGCUAAUGUUGUGCUCUCUUUGAAGAGUCUUGGAAUUCACGACUUAUUAAAUUUUGAUUUUAUAUAGAAAGACUGAAUCUUUUAAUUAUAUCAUCUCAAACGAAUAAAAUUCAAUUAGCGAAAUUAUCGUAUCCUUUUAUAAUGACACGAUAAUCAUCAAUUAAAAAUGUAUAUUUUUUUUAUUUAAUAAAUUUAAAAAUAUAUUCAAAGAUAAGAUUUAGUCACUAAUAUAUUUAGCAUCUCUUUUUUGUUAUUGAUAAUAACAACUAGUAAUAUUUAUCUAAAAUUACGGCCUAAUAUAAUAUUUUUCAUCAAUUGGUUGACCAUGUAUGCAUAAAUUAUCGAUUAAAAUAUCUCUAAUUGAUUUAUCAACAACUUCAAAAUAAUAUCUAUAAUUAAUGAGUGUUUUAUCCCAUAUUAUAAGAGAAGCUUCGCAUAUUAGUAAGGCUAGUUGGGUUCUUUUUUAAUGUUACAUAUUAAGUUUUCAUUUAAUUUACUAGAUAUUUUAAAUCUUAAAUGACCUAUACGUUAACAUGAUAAACUGAUAAAAGUAAAGAUGAAAUACCUGAUUGAUUCAAAAAAAAAGAUGAAAUACCUGAAUAAGCAAUAACUAAAAUAACCCAUCCUUUUGAUCUUAAAUGUGAAAAUAUUGUCUUAUAUAAAUAUGUUUUCCUAGAUUCACAGUGUAUAUAAACAAAAAAAAAAUCCAUCAUUAUUAUUGACAAAUAAAUAAAACUAUAUCAUAUAUAAUCUUUUAUUCUAAAUUCAGCGUGGUAGGAAGUGCUAAAUUAUGAUUUAAUAACAAGGUAAAAUUUUUAUUAAAAUACUAUUUUAAUUCAAGAAGAAUGUGAGUUUUUUAGUUUUUAUCUUGGAUCAUAGACUCAACCAUAUUUAUUAUAUUUUGCAUAUGAUAUUUUAAUAUCAUAGCCAAAAAAUCUCUAGAAUUUAUCAAAUAGUUUUACAGACUUAGAAAUUUCAUAAAAAUUAAUAAUAAUUGUGAACAAAUGUCUUAAUAUCUAUUUUUUAUCAUCAAUUAAUAAAAUUCUUACAAAAUGUGCGGAUUGAUCCCGUUGAUAAAUAAUAUCGUCUAUUGUUUUCACUUAAUUAAAAUUUAUUGGCACUUUGACAAUAUUCAAUAGCAUUGUUAAGUAAUAAAGUUCUCUUACAUUUAGGCACACAUAUGAUAUUCUUUUUAUACAUCGACUUUAAUUCUGUUAAAUCCAUAAUUUGUUCUUUUCAUUUCAUAUUCAUUACCUUGGAAAUUCAACGUAUAUCAAUAGACAUGCAUUUUCAUAAAAAAAACAAAAAAUUAGUUUUUAUCAUUUUGUUAAUGUUGUUUUUCUUUUAUCAACUUUAUUUACAAUAGAUUUUAGAUUUUGAUUUUGUUUGUAAAGAAUAAUAUUUAUUAAGGCAAAUGAACAUAUAAACACUUAUCUUAGGACUUAAAAAAAAUGCCAUACUGCUUCACAGGGUGAUAUAUAAAUGACCAUUUAAAUAAUUUUUUUAUUUUGUUUGUACAUUAUUUAGAAGGUGUUGUGCUGUUAUUAUUUAUUUGUACAACGAUUCUCGCUUUAUCAAGACCCUUAUUAAUAUAUUUAAAUAAAUAUUUUAUGAGCACAAUUACACAAACAAAACUCAAUAUUUAUAUGAGUUUGAUAUAUGAUAAUUAAAUCUUUAUUGUGCAGAACUAUAAAUUUAUUAUUUAUUUUAUUCAUUUUUUUUAACAAAUGAACUAUUAUCCCUUUGCUUAUAGACCGUAAAACCACUUUUAUCUAUGGGUAUCUUAGGCACAAAUUUUUUGGAUAAUGUUUUCAAUAAUGUUUUUUGUGCCUGCACGAACACUUUAAUUUUUAUCAUCAUAUGUUAAUGGAUUAUACUUUUUAUAGAGUAACUCAACCGAUAGUAUAGAAUCAAUUUUUAUUGCUAAUUUAUGCUUUUUUAACCAUACUAAAGAAUGCACCGGAAGCAAAUCUCAUUGUGAAAUUCAAUAAUAUAUAAAAUGACAACAACAUGAUCAAAAUGUUAUUUUAUAUAUAUAUAUAUAUAUAUAUCUAUAUAUAUAUAUAUAUAUAUAUAUAUAUAUAUAUAGAUAGAUAUAUAUAUAUAUAUAUAUAUAAUCUAUUCAAUAAUUAAACUUUGCUUUAAAAACUCAUUCAACUAUAUUUGGCCUAUUUUUGGAUAUUUGGCCUAAAAUUAAAUUUAAAAUAUGUUUUAUUUCAAUUCAAACUGGAUUACAUGUAAAAAUAGUAAAUUAAUCUGGAUGAUUAUAAAAUUUACAUAUAAUUAUUGCAUCAUAGUAGUAUUCUAAUAUAUACCUAGAAACUCGAAUGCAAAAUCGUAUAUUUACCAACAUUAUUUAAAUUAUGUGUAAAGAAACCUUGUAAAUGGAAUUGUUAUGUUACUGUAAAGAAACAUGUUUCAUUGAAUGGAAUUUCUGAAGUUAGAACAUUAUGAGAAUAAAAAUCUUAUGAUAUUUUUCUGUAAAUCAAUAAUUGAGAAUUGUAUCCACAUAUAAAUCAAUAGUUCAUAUUGUCAUUCUCACAAAUUAAUACAUAGUAAUAUCCAUAUGGAAAACAAAAGUUAACAUUUCUUAUAUCCCAACUUACAAUUACACUAAUACAAUAAACAAUAAUGCACUGCACAUUGGAGACACGUUCUGCAGUAACUCAUGGCAUACACCUUUUUCUACUUACAUUACUACCAUUAAAACUGAUUACAAGCAACAAAACACAUAAAAUUAUUAUAAAUAUUGUCAAUGAAUAAUACUUCAAUAUUCUUUCUUUUAUUCUCUUCUUUUUCCAACUUCAAGUGGACCUUGAUCAUCUCUUCUUGACAAGACAUCACAGUAGUAUCUAACAACCUUACUUUAUCUUUGGAUUGCUGCAAUUGCAUUUUUAAUUUUGCCUCUUUCACUUUGCCAAUUACAAUUUUAUUUUCACAGUUAUGAAUUUGAUUCGUAAGGAUUGGAAUCACCUUUACUUUCAUUGGCUUUUUCGUGCUGUCAAUUCAUUCGAAAAAGUUACAUCCUUCUUGACUUGGAUAUUUUAACUUCUACCUAUGUUAUUAUCUGUCAAUACCGUUUUCUAUUGGAUUUCGAAUAUCAUAAAAUCAUCUCUUUAUUUAACGAUGGAGUAUUCGAUGAAAUUGAAGAAUUCAUAUGAUGUUUGAGAAUAAGCUUUUCUAAUAAGUGGGGCAUUGAGGAUUGAGAGAAGUAGAGAGUAGGAGAAAAAUUUGAGAGAAAUCAAUGGAAAAAAAAUAGGGCAUGAUAAGUGAAUUUGGAGUUUUAAAUAUUUUCCUUUUUUUAUAAAAUUACUUUUGUUGUCCUUAGGGUCCCACAUGCCAUGUAAGCUACUGGGCCAUGUCAAUUACCACGUUGUAAAAAAUAAACAGUGUUAUGGCAUCCGUCCUUAGCUAACCGGGGAAAGAGAAAACGUUCUGUUUGCAAAAAAACAAAACAAGAAAAAUCUAGGCCCUCGUUACUAAAAGCGCAAAACCUAAAUAACUAAACCCUCAACUCUCCAUGCCUAACAUCUCUUAAACUCUCAACGCAGCUGCCCGUUCCCUCCCCCGCCCGUGUCUACCUCUCCCCUCACCCUCUGGUGUAGACGUCCACCUCCCGCCGAUUGUCUCUCUGCUGUUCAUGCUGUCAACGGCAUUGCUGCAUCCGGUGCUCGUUGCUGCGUCCGCUAGUUCUGGUUGCUUCUUUUCUCUCCUCCGCCGCUCCCUCUGGUUCUCUUCGUUGCAUCCCCUGGUCCAUUCCUUCUGCCGCCCGGUGCUGCUCGUCGCCUUUGGUCCUCGUCCUCAAUCACACCGCUGCUGCUCCUCGCCGCUACGUCAAUCACUGCAGGUUUGAAUGUGUUUUGAGAUUGUGGUUUCAUAUGUGUGCUUUCUAAGAUUUGUGAGAUUUAUUGAUUUGGGUUUUUGAAAUUUGCGGAAAUGCUAAGAUUUAUGCGAAUAUGCUUGGGGUUGUAUUUUUGAAAUUUAUUUUGAAAUUUGUUGAAAUAAAGACUAUAAUGAAUGAAUAUAGGGUUGUUUUUAUGAGAUUAUUGAAAUAGGUUUAUGAAUUUUAUUGAAAUGUUAAUGUGAGAUUCCUAAAAAUUUAUGGAAAUGCUAAGAUUUAUCUAAAUGUGCUGAGCAUUGUAAUUGUGAGAGUAUUGAAAAUUUGUUAAAAGGAGACUAUUGUGAAUGAAUUGAGAGUUGCUUUUGAGAGAUUAGUGAAAUGGUAAUAUGGGAUUUUGUGUGAAUUUUUUCUUUUUGAUUAUGAGUUAAUGGGUUUGAGUAGUUUGGGGUAGUAAACAGAUCAUGGUAAACCUGUUUGAGAUGGAUAUGGGUAGUGAAAUCUAAUUUCUAAACAGAUGUGGGUAGUGAAAUCAGAUUUGUAAACAGAUUUGGAUAGUUUAUUUAUAAACAAGUUCGGGUUCAGGUACCUAAAAUUUUGCAUGUACCCUAUCCAGUACCAUCCCUACUCACUUUCUUUAUUGUAAGGGAAGUAUGUUGUUUUCCUCAUUUCCUGUUCCUCAGAAUACUUCCUGGAAAAAGAAAUUCCUAGGAAAUAAAAUAUUUUGAACAAAGAAGGCCUGGAUAUAAAUAAUGCACCUUAGUAAAAGCCUUUAAAAAAAUUAAAGGAAACAUUUUUAGUCCUUAUAAUAUAGAAAAAUUUAUUAAUUAAUUUAUCGAUUUUGAAAAAUAUAUUAAAAUGACCCUGAAAAUUUUAAGAACCUACUAAUUAGUCAUUUUUUUAGUUUUAGCCGUUGAGUAUUUAACUAUUUAGUCCAUAUAGUACAGAAAAACUUGUUGGUUAGUCUUUUAGUUUUGUAAAAGUAUUUACUAUUUAGUCUUCCGUAUUGAGGUUAUUUUAGACUUUUGUGCAACACUCAGCGGUUGAAAUUAAUGGAGAGACUAAUUAGUGUAUUUUUUAAAAUCAAGAGACUAACUAAUGGUUUUAUUGAAUAGUAAUUUUUCCAAAAUUAAAAGAAUAAAAUUAAAUUGGAAUCUUUUUCAAAAAAUAAUAAUACUAAAAAGGAAAAAUAAAUAUUUAGUCCCUCAGCUUAAGUGAAACUCGUUAGUUGAUGCCCGCAUUUUCAAACCACAUUAAAAUGUUCCUCACUUUUCAUGUAAUUAACUAAAUAAUCUCUCUGACCAAUUUAGGCCUCAUUUGCCGUUAGUCAUAAGAGAGAGAAAUCUUUUUUGGGCCAUAAACACCCUUGGUCUUUUAUUUUCUCUUAUAUUAAGUUCGUCCCUCCUAUAUCGUCCCUGUCUUCUUCAUUGUAAGGGUUUCUGCUCUCUCUUCUUCAUUGUUAGGGUUUUUGCUCUCCUUGAUUAAUCUCCAUCUUCUUCAAUUCUUAAAAGUGUCAUAUGCUUCUGGUAGUACAAUGAGUGGGUGGGGGGGUGUAAGGAAGACUGUAAAUUGCUGCUUGUAAAGGUAGAAAGAGUUGAAGGCUUGCUGGGUCAAUUGAAAGCAAUUGUUGUGAUUCUUAUUGUAGCCUUGGUGUUUAUUAGGAUGACGAUGAAGUAGAUUUAGUGGUAUUAGAAAUGUAAAAUGUACUGGUUGAAAUUGUAUUUGAUGCUUUGCUUUGUUAUAUGUUCAAGGUUCAUUGUACCAGUAAUGGAAUGACUAAAUGAUAUUCCUAUUAAUUACUUAGGGACUAAAUAGUUUUAAGUAUUAUAAAAGAGGGACUAUAUAGUUAAUAUGGAUAGAAUUGAGGGACUACAUAGUAUAUAGUUAAUAUUUAUAAAAUUGAGGGACAACAGUGUUGUCAAUUUAAUUUAAUGACAAAAAUUAAAGUAGAGACAACAAAAUCCUUAUUGUAAACAACCCAAGCUUUUAACGUGUUAUGUAAAAGCAACUCCAAUCAGAUUGUGAAACUUAUUCAGAAAUAGAAAGAUGAAAAUGGGUUCUCUUUGGCAGCCACCCGAGUUUGGUUGUAGUGAGGUUAGGUUUUUUUAAAUUUGGGGGUUUAGUUGUAUUCAUAAAGAAGGACCAAGGGUAAUCCAGUUAUUUCGCACCUCAAUAAUGUUUAAAUUAGAUGGAGGGACUGUUAGUUAAUUACUUAACGUGGGGAUGACUUGAUGUGGUUUUGGAAAUAUGGGGACCAACUAAUGAGUUUCACUAAAACUGAGGGAUUACAUAGUUUUUUUUUUCCAAUAAAAAAAUAAACCUAAACCUCAAAUAAAUCCCACUUCACUGCCGACAGCCCAGUCGGCACCGACGCCGUCUCCUUUCUCUCCCCAGCGACGAUAAAUCUUCUCUCUCCCCAGUCAGCGAUAUCUCCUUCUCUCUCCAGUCGGCGACAUCUCCCACUUCCCGGUCAACGCCUCUCUCCCCCACUUCACUGACGAGUGCAGGCAGCCCAAUCGGCACCGGUUUCUCUCCCCAAUCGACAAUAAAUCUUCUCUCUCCCCAGUCAACGAUAUCUCCUUCUCUCUUUCCAUUGUGGCGACAUCUCCCACUUUCCAGUCGGAGACAACUCUUCCCUCUCCCCUGUCGGCAUCGGCAACAUCUCCUUCUCUCUCCACAGGCGGUGACAUCUACUCUCUCCAAUUGACGCUUCUCUCCCCCACUUCACUGAUGACUGCCGGAGACAACCCUUGCCUCUCCCCAAUCGCGUCGGCGACAUCUCCUUUGACCGGAACUUUCUUCAGGUUUGCAAUCAAAUUUUUUGAUAAUCAAAAUCUUUUAUGUUUAUGUUUAUCUUGUUAAAGAAUUUUUAGUUGCUGUUAAAGAUUUUUAGAAUUUAUGGACUAUUAAUCUUAUUAUUUGGAUACUGGUAAAAAAUCUGAUUAUUUGCUAGUUGGUUACUGUUUGAUUUUUAGAAUUUAUGGACUAUUACUCUGAUUAUUUGCUAUUUGGUUACUCUUAAUCUGAUAAUCAAGAUCUUUUUAGUUGCUGUUAAAAUAUGCUAAUACUACCAGAUUUCAUGCUGUUGAUUUACUAGAAUGAUAUUUGAUGUAGUGAAGAGAUUAUAAAUCCUAAGUACCCUCUAUGUAAUCCACCUGGUUCUGUGUCAUUGAGCAUUUCUCUAAUGUUUCUACUGCUGGAUUGUACAUAUCAUACAGAUAGUUUUUGUGAAAAUUAUUGCUAAGUUAUUUGACUUGAUUUACAAUCUAUGUUUUCUGCAUUUGUUUUUUUGAAGGUUUUCUAGCCCAAUUUGAUAUUGGAGAUUGAAAUGGCCAAUUGAAUAUAUUUUAUGUUCAAUCAAUGUAGUUUAAUGAAUUUUUUGAAACAUUUCAUUUGUUCAAAAUUUUAUGUUGGAUACAUAAUUGAUUAAUCAAUUAAUGGUUGUGUUAAGAUGAAUUUAUAAUAUAUUUAUUUUGUUUUAGUAUAUUUAAAUUUCCUAAUUCAAAUUUGUUAUUUGGGUUAUAAUAUUCAAAUCUUUAAAUUUUUUUAUCAUUGAAUUGAAGUAAAAAGAUUGGGUUUGGGUAUUGUGCGGGUAUUGUUAAACGGAUUUAGAACGGGUACGUGUAUUAAAAUUAAAAUAUUAAACGGAUUUCGGAAGGGUUUGGAAAUUAUACAUAUAAUCGGGUUCGGGUUUGGGUACUCUCAAUUUUGUGGGUACCCUAUCCAUUGCCAUGCAGUCACUAUACUUGUAGAUAAAUAAAAGAAAAAGAUAAAAAGUAAUAUUGAUUAAAUAAUUUUAGAAAUAAUUAGAAAAUUAUAAUGUUUUCUUUAAUAUUAUUUAUUUUAAAAAUAAUUUAAAAGACAACUAAAAUAUUCUCACUAUAAACUAAUACACACAUUAUAUUAAAUAUUUUUAAUAUUAUGGAAAAUUAUUUUUUAGUCCCUGAGGUAUAGCGUAAUUAACAUAUUCGUCCCUCUAUUUUUAGAACCCAACGCUUUUGUCCCUGAGGUUUAAUUCCGUCAAAAUUAGAGGUCCCUUCGUCAAAAAUGCCGUUAGUGAUAGAAAAAUGACCGAAUUACCCUUUCUAGAACUCAAUACUUUAGUUCCUGAAAUUUAAUUCUUACAAAUUUAUAGGUCCCUCUUUCAAAGAAUUGAAGGAAAAAAUACAUUUUUAUCACUAAAAUAUUACAUAAUUAACAUAUUUGUAUCUCUAUUUUUUUGAAUUCAAUAUUUUAGUCCCUAAAGUUUAAUUUCGUCAAAAUUCAAGGAAGAAAAUCUCAAACUCAAUAUAUAAAAUUUAAAUUAUUAAAAAUAAAAAGUUAAAACUCAAUAUAAAUAUUUUUUGUGAUGCUGUUCGUCAUCGAUCACUGCUCGCCAUUUUAAAAAUUCAUUAAAAUGUCUCUGAUAUUUUAAAAAAUUUACUAGUUAGUUUUUCCGUUAAUUUUAGUCGUUAAGUGUUAUAAAAAAAAUCUAAAAUUUUCAUGAUAUGGAGUGACUAAUUAGUAAAUUUUGUCAUAAUUUGAGGGACUAAUUAUUUUUUUUAAACUAUAGGGACUAAAUAGUAAAAUAUUUAGUGAUAAAAUUAAUAGAGGAACUAACUAGUAGACUUUUUAAAAUGUUAGGGAUAUUUUAAUAUAUUUUUUAAAAUUGAGGGACUAAGUAGCGAGUUUUUUCAUUCUAUAGGGACUAAAUAGUAUUUUUUUAUUUUAUUAUUGAUAAGGAUAUUUUUGAGAUAAAUAAUCAGGUGAAAAUCAUUGACUUAACAGAAAUUUUUUACGGAUGGACCUUAAAUUUUGACGGAAUUAAACCUUAGGGACGAAAAUGUUGGGUUUUAAAAAUAGAGAGACGAAUAUGUUAAUUACGCUAUACUUCAGGGACUAAAAAAUAAUUUUUUCUAUUAUAAACUAUAUUAUUUAUUUUUAAAAAAUUAUAGUCCGAAAGGCAAAAUUAAUAUACAUAUAUUAAAAAGUAUUUUAAAUAAUUAUAAACUAUGAAAAAUCUUAAUUAAAAGGAAGUAAUAAAACAAUAAAAUUAACAAUAAAAUUAAGGAAAAUUUUAUUAUUUAAUUUUUAAAUAUGGCUAUCAUUAAUAUGUAAGUUUUUAUAUUUUUAAAAAUUUAUUAAAAUAUUUUUAUUUUUUUUAAAAAAAUAAUUUUUUUUAAUUAAAAAUAGAUAAAUAAUAAAAGUUAAAAUUUUUAAAAUUUAAUUUUAUUCUUAAUAAUAUAUAUAUUUUAAUGAUCUAUUUUUUAAAAUUUAAUUUUUUUAAUUUAGUUUUUUAGUAUAUUAUUAAUCGAAAUAAAUAAAAUUAAACAGAAAAAUUAUUUUAUUGAUAAAAAAAUAAUAAAAAUAUUUUAAUAAAUUUAUAAAAAUGUAACCACUAAUUUUUAAUAAUAAUAAUACUUAAAAAUUAAAUAAUAAAUUCUCCUAAAAUUAAAUAAGUAAAAAAAAUUUUAAAUCACCCAUUAAAUUUUUUAUGAACGUCUAACUAGGCCCAUUCAAAUUUUUUUUUGCUAAACACACUUCCAAUUUUAUCUUUAAUAUCAACAACUCAUGCUUUAAUAUAAUAUUAUUUUUUAUAAUUUAAACUAUAAAAAAUUUAAUAUUUUAAUUAAUAUAAAAAUUAAAAAUAAUAAAUAAUUUUUAAAAUUAUAAAAAUAAAAUUUUAUUAUUAAAUUUAAUAUUUUAUUAUUAAAAAGUAAUAUUUUAUUAUUAAAAAAGUAAUAUUUUAUUAUGCAAAGAUUUUUUUUGAAUUAAUAGGUUAAGACUUACUUGAUCCUAAAAGUAAUAUAUACCAAUUUAUUUGAAAAAAAAAUUGAAUUGGCCUUGUUUAAAAGUUGAAGGGCUGAUUUGACUUUUUUCCUAAGCAAACCCUUAAAUCCUUUUAUAAAAAAAACCCUUCAAAUCUCCAGCCCUAAUAUUUCCCUCCCCUUCGACAAAAGAGUAAAAACAAAAAAACUUCUCCCUCAACUCUCAACACUGCUGCUCGUCCCCUCCCGUCCCCCCCUUCGGUCUCUCCGCCUCUCCUCUGGUACAGCCGCGCGCCUCCGCCUCCCGCCUCUUGCCUAUCGUCCUUGUUCUUCACGCUGUCAACGUCGUUGCUGCGUCCGCUGUUUCUGGUUGCUUCAUCGCUUUCCUCCGCAGCUUCCUCUGGUCCUCGUCGCUGCGUCCACUGGUCCAGUCAUCCUGCCGUCCG
RNAcentral lists this long non-coding RNA (23832 nucleotides) under Manihot esculenta (cassava). RNAcentral's name for it is "long non-coding RNA (MESC_LNC007783)". The record is from RNAcentral. Lineage: Eukaryota; Viridiplantae; Streptophyta; Magnoliopsida; Malpighiales; Euphorbiaceae.